RNAcentral lists this ribosomal RNA (645 nucleotides) under uncultured bacterium. Its description in RNAcentral is "bacterial SSU rRNA". It matches the Rfam family "Bacterial small subunit ribosomal RNA", at positions 8 to 648 of the family's 1533-position model. The record is from RNAcentral.
AGAGUUUGAUCCUGGCUCAGAUUGAACGCUGGCGGCAUGCCUUACACAUGCAAGUCGAACGGCAGCACGGGAGCAAUCCUGGUGGCGAGUGGCGAACGGGUGAGUAAUAUAUCGGAACGUGCCCAGUCGUGGGGGAUAACGUAGCGAAAGCUACGCUAAUACCGCAUACGAUCUAUGGAUGAAAGCGGGGGAUCGAAAGACCUCGCGCGAUUGGAGCGGCCGAUAUCAGAUUAGGUAGUUGGUGAGGUAAAGGCUCACCAAGCCGACGAUCUGUAGCUGGUCUGAGAGGACGACCAGCCACACUGGGACUGAGACACGGCCCAGACUCCUACGGGAGGCAGCAGUGGGGAAUUUUGGACAAUGGGCGCAAGCCUGAUCCAGCAAUGCCGCGUGCAGGAUGAAGGCCUUCGGGUUGUAAACUGCUUUUGUACGGAACGAAACGGUGAGCUCUAAUACAGUUUGCUAAUGACGGUACCGUAAGAAUAAGCACCGGCUAACUACGUGCCAGCAGCCGCGGUAAUACGUAGGGUGCGAGCGUUAAUCGGAAUUACUGGGCGUAAAGCGUGCGCAGGCGGUGAUGUAAGACAGAUGUGAAAUGCCCGGGCUNCACCUGGGACCUGCAUUUGUGACUGCAUCGCUAGAGUA